Molecule: ribosomal RNA, 450 nt
Filed under: uncultured bacterium
Lineage: Bacteria
Description: partial 16S ribosomal RNA
Rfam family: Bacterial small subunit ribosomal RNA
Source: RNAcentral
CCUACGGGUGGCUGCAGUGGGGAAUAUUGGACAAUGGGCGCAACCCUGAUCCAGCCAUGCCGCGUGUGUGAAGAAGGCCUUCGGGUUGUAAAGCACUUUAAGCAGGGAGGAAGGCUCGUUGGUUAAUAACCAGCGGGAGUGACGUUACCUGCAGAAUAAGCACCGGCAAACUCCGUGCCAGCAGCCGCGGUAAUACGGAGGGUGCGAGCGUUAAUCGGAAUUACUGGGGGUGAUUUGUAAGUUCGCGGGUGAAAUCCCCGGGCUCAACCUGGGUGCUGCAUUCGAGACUGGCAGACUUGAAUACGGUAGAGGGGGGUGGAAUUCCAGGUGUAGCGGUGAAAUGCGUAGAGAUCUGGAGGAACACCAGUGGCGAAGGCGGCCCCCUGGACCGAUAUUGACGCUGAGGUACGAAAGCGUGGGGAGCAAACAGGAUUAGAUACCCGAGUAGUC